This is a long non-coding RNA of Pongo abelii (Sumatran orangutan), 1707 nucleotides long. NCBI's taxonomy places the organism in Eukaryota, Metazoa, Chordata, Mammalia, Primates, Hominidae. The record is from Ensembl.
UGGUCUAAAGGUUUUGGAGAGAAAGUGACUGCAUGUUGGCAAUGUAGUACACCAGUGUUUCAUGGUUUUUGAAAUCUGAAUUCUUUAAAUGAUAGGUUUGAUUUCUAAUGGAUUGUGGAAAUUUAUUGUCACUCUAUAGAUGUGAGAAUCUCUGAUACCAGCUAAUGUUUUCAUUUCUUUCUUUGUUGAUUUCAAAUAGAUCAGAGGUUGGAUUUAUGCAAACUUGGGCCAAAGGACAGUUAGAAGACAUAAGUCUUCAGUCCAGAGACCAAAUUGGCACAGGAGGACAAGUUGUGGACUGCAGUCGUUUAGUUGAUAAUGAUUUACCAGACAAGUAAGGGUGAUGACAACUCCAUGAGGGUGGAGAUUAUACGUCUCUCAUCAUUUAAGCAACAAGGAAAUAAAUUAGUGGCAGAGUAAGGGGUGACUUGAGAUCUCCUGGAAGCCAGGAUCCUUUAAAAAUCCUGGAAUAGGGAGGAGCCAAGAUGGCCGAAUAGGAAGAGCUCCGUCCUACGGCUCCCAGCAUAAGCGACACAGAAGACGGGUGAUUUCUGCAUUUCCAUCUGAGGUUCUGGAGGAGGUCAAUGAAGUUCUGCUUGACCUCUAUGUCCAGGGAGUCCUUCAUCUCUGCCAGGUGCUUCAUGGACUCACUGGCAUCGAGCAGUGCGUCACUGAAGUUGGACUCGUUGCCCAGCUCCUCCUGGUGGCGGAUCAGGCCCUCGCUCAGGAACCCCUCCGACUGCGGGUAGCCGGGGUUCUUCACCUGGCCCCGGAUCUUGCACACCGUGUUGAGCAUGGUCAGCUUAGCCUGCGAGGCUGGGUUGGGCUGCAGGUACUUGAUGGUCCUUGCCAGCAUUUCCGUCACCGCCUUGCUGAUGACAUCUCCAUCUCUUUGAAGUCAUCGUCCAACUUGGUCCCGUCAGCCCCUCCGACCUUCUCACUGACCAGCUGGCUCGCCUUGUAGAACUGCUUCUUCAGCCCUGCAACCGACAUGCUGCCUCCCACCGCCGAACCUCCCGCCCGGACUCCACCAGCGACAGGCUCCCAGGUGCUGUGACCCUCUGCGUGCCUCAGAGGCCCCACCACGUGCUUGCCAGCUCUGCACCUGCCCUGGCACCACCUCGAGUUUAUGAUUCUUUAGUCUCCUUCAAUAUAGAUCUGUUCCCAGGAUUGUUUUAAAGUAUACUGACAAAACUUUGAGACUGUACAUGACCUGAGAUAUACAUUAUCCUUACUUGAGAAUAGUAAUUUUUCAAUACACAUUAAAGAUCAUUACACAUGAGCCAAGACAAAUGAGCUGGCCUACUUACUUUGUAUACAAAUGUGUAAACUCCUCAAGAGUUCCAAUAAUGAACUCCAAUAAGGAAAUUAGUUCAGUGUCUUUAUGUCCUUGGUGACAAAUGGUUACGGACAAUCAGAGCAUUUUUCCUAUCCACUAAUGGUCAAGAAAAAAGCAGACAGAUCCUCACUAUCUUAGAGAACUAAGUGAGAAAGUUGGUCGAUGAAGAGGACUUCAUCCAGAGAGGAAGGGAUCUAGCUCACAGGGAAGAUGCUGCAGGAGGCUGAGGAAAGUGAGGCCAGAGCAGUAAAACAGAUCUGACAACCUGGUGAAGAUAAGAAAGUGACCUGACAAAAAUGAACGGAGCAGAGUGCUAAAAAAUGAAGGGCCCUUUCCAUGCUAAUCUUGCAUGAUGCCCUCAACCAGCC